This 2567-nucleotide long non-coding RNA is filed under the name Capsicum annuum. RNAcentral describes it as "long non-coding RNA (CANN_LNC003850)". Lineage: Eukaryota; Viridiplantae; Streptophyta; Magnoliopsida; Solanales; Solanaceae. The record is from RNAcentral.
GUUGAUUCUUCAGGUUUCUCUUCAAGUGUUAGUUCUUGAGGUGUUUCCUCCUUUGCUAGCUCUUCAGGUGUUUCUGUAACUGCCGGUUCUUCAGGUUCCUCUUCAGCCACCGGCUGUUGACGUAUCUCCUCUACUUGUACUUCAGAUUUCUCCUCAAUUGUUGGUUCUUCAGGUUUCUCCUUAACCGCUGGUACAUCAGGUUUAUCCUCAUUGACUGGUUCUUCAACUGCUGAUUCUUCUAGAUUUUCCUCAAUGUCUGGAAAGCGAGCAACAUCAUUAUUGGUAUUGCAUGGAAUUUCAUUUCCAGUUUCGUUAUUCGAGUCUACAAUUAGCAUAUUCUGCAAAAAGAAUUUAAUGUUUCAUUUAGCCUUUCAAUAAAGAAGCAUAUGCGAAUAACAGUACAUGCAUAACUAACAAAAUGGAUAAACUUUGUGAUAGUGCUUGAUCCUUACCUUUGCCAAAAGAGUUACCUUUUCAGGUUUCUCCUCUUCAACGGUUGGUUCUUCAUGUUUCUUUUCAAAUGCUAGUUCCUUGGUUGUUUCUUCCGGUGUUGGUUCCAUAGGUGUUUCUUCAGUUACUUGUUUUUCGGGUUUCUCUUCAAUUAUUGGUUCUUCGAUUGUCUUCUCAACUGAUGGUUCUUCAAGAUUUUCUCCCACUGUUGGUUUUUGGGGUUUCUCUUCUAUUGUUGGUUGUUCAGGAAUUUUCUCAACUGGUGGUUCUGCUGGAUAUUCCAAAACCAUUGAUUCUUCAGAUUUCUCUUCAAUUGAUGGUUCUUCAUGGGUUUUUUCAACUACUGGUUCUUCAAUUUUUUCCUCAACAGAUGCAUAGUCAACAAUAUCAUUAUUGGUAUUGCUUGGAAUUGCAUCGUCUGUCAUGUCCUUUGAGUUUACUUUUGGCAUAUUCUGCAAUAGAGUUUCAUGUAAUCUUUCAACAGAUAAACAGAUGUAAAUUUGUUGCACAUAUAAAGCUAAUAUGGUGGAUAAACUUUGUGACAGUGUUUAAUCCUCACCUUCUCCUGAAGAUCUUCCGCUUCAAGUUCCUCCUCUACAAUUGCAGUUUUUUCCUCUUCCCCUUCAACAACUAGUUCUUCAGGUGCCUCUUCAGCCGUUGAUUCUUCAGGUUUCUCUUCAAGUGCUAGUUCUUCAGGUGUUUCCUCCUUUGCCAGCUCUUCAGGUGUUUCUUUAGAUGCCGAUUCUUCAGGUUUCUCUUCAGCCAUCGGUUCUUGAGGUAUUUCCUCUACUUGUACUUCAUAUUUCUCCUCAAUUGUUUGUUCUUCAGGUUUCUCUUCAGGUUUCUCCUUAACCACUGGUACAUCAGGUUUCUCUUGAUUAACUGGUUCUUUGGGUUUUUCUUCAACAGCCGAAUCUUCAGGAUUUUCCUCAAUGUCUUGAAAGCAAGCAAUAUCUUUAGUGGUAUUGCAUGGAAUUUCACUGCCAGUUUUGUUGUUCGAGUCUACAAUUAGCAUAUUCUGCAAAAGGAAUUUGAUGUUUCAUUUAGCCUUUUAAUAAAGAAGCAGAUGUGAAUAACAUUACAUGCAUAACUUACAAAAUGGAUAAAUUUUGUGACAGUCCUUGACCCUUACCUUUUCAGGUUUCUCCUCUUCAACAGCUGAUUCUUCAUGUUUCUCUUCAAAUGCUAGUUCUCUGGGUGUUUCUUCCCGUAGUGCUUCUUCAUGUGCUUCUUCAGUUACUGGUUUUUCAGGUUUCUCCUCAAUUGUUGGUUCUUUGAUUGUCUCCUCAACAGAUGGUUCUUCAAGCUUCUCUCCCGUUGUUGAUUUUUCUGGUUUCUCUUCAAUUGCUGGUUGUUCAGGAAUUUUCUCAACAGCUGGUUCUUCUGGCUUCUCUAAAACCAUUGAUUCUUCAGCUUUCUCUUCAAUUGAUGGUUCUUCAUGGUUUUUUUCAACUAUUGGUUCUUCAGUUUUUUCCUCAACGGAUGCAUAGUCAACAAUAUCAUUGUUGGUAUUGCUUGGAAUUGCAUCGUCUGUCAUGUCCUUUGAGUUUACUUUUGGCAUAUUCUACAAUAAAGUUUCAUGUAGUCUUUCAAUAGAUAAACAGAUGUAAAUUUGUUGCAACAUAUAAAGCUAAUAUGGUGGAUAAACUUUGUGACAGUGUUUAAUCCUCACCUUCUCCCGAAGAUCUUCCGCUUUAAGUUCCUCCUCUUCAAUUGCUGUUUUUUCAUCUUUCGUUUCAACAACUAGUUCUUCAGGUGCCUCUUCAGCCGUUGAUUCUUCAGGUUUUUCUUCAAGUGCCAGCUCUUCAGGUGUUUCCUCCUUUGCCAUCUCUUCAGGUGUUUCCUCCUUUGCCAGCUCUUCAGGUGUUUCUUUAGCUGCUGGUUCUUCAGGUUUCUCUUCAGCCGCCAGUUCUUGAGGUAUCUCCUUUUCUACUUCAGAUUUCUCCUCAACUGUUGGUUCUUCAGGUUUCUCUUCAUUAACUGGUUCUUUGGGUUUUUCUUCAACAGCCGAAUCUUCAGGAUUUUCCUCAAUGUCUGGAAAGUGAGCAACAUCUUUAUUGGUAUUGCAUGCAAUUUCACUGUCAGUUUUGUCGUUCAAGUCUACAAUUAGCAUAUUC